RNAcentral lists this ribosomal RNA (800 nucleotides) under uncultured bacterium. RNAcentral's name for it is "bacterial SSU rRNA". It matches the Rfam family "Bacterial small subunit ribosomal RNA", at positions 9 to 804 of the family's 1533-position model. The record is from RNAcentral.
GAGUUUGAUCCUGGCUCAGGAUGAACGCUAGCGGCAGGCUUAACACAUGCAAGUCGAGGGGCAGCGGGGUGUAGCAAUACAUCGCCGGCGACCGGCGCACGGGUGCGUAACACGUAUGGAAUCUGCCCUUUACUGGGGGAUAGCCCGGAGAAAUCCGGAUUAAUACCCCAUAACAGCCUGAGUGGCAUCACUUGGGUUUGAAAGCUCCGGCGGUAAAGGAUGACCAUGCGCACGAUUAGCUAGUUGGUGAGGUAAUGGCUCACCAAGGCUACGAUCGUUAGGGGGCCUGAGAGGGUUAUCCCCCACACUGGUACUGAGACACGGACCAGACUCCUACGGGAGGCAGCAGUGAGGAAUAUUGCGCAAUGGAGGAAACUCUGACGCAGCCAUGCCGCGUGCAGGAAGAAGGCGCUACGCGUUGUAAACUGCUUUUAUCCGGGAAGAAACCCCAGGACGUGUCCUGGGUUGACGGUACCGGAGGAAUAAGCACCGGCUAACUUCGUGCCAGCAGCCGCGGUAAUACGAAGGGUGCAAGCGUUAAUCGGAAUUACUGGGCGUAAAGCGUGCGCAGGCGGUGCUGUAAGACAGGCGUGAAAUCCCCGGGCUUAACCUGGGAAUGGCGCUUGUGACUGCAGUGCUGGAGUGUGGCAGAGGGGGAUGGAAUUCCGCGUGUAGCAGUGAAAUGCGUAGAUAUGCGGAGGAACACCGAUGGCGAACGCAAUCCCCUGGGCCUGCACUGACGCUCAUGCACGAAAGCGUGGGGAGCAACAGGAUUAGAUACCCUGGUAGUCCACGCCCUA